Molecule: long non-coding RNA, 2420 nt
Organism: Canis lupus familiaris (dog)
Lineage: Eukaryota; Metazoa; Chordata; Mammalia; Carnivora; Canidae
Exons: 4
Source: RefSeq, a predicted model, not a curated record
ACACCCAGUGCUCAUCCCAUCCAUGGACCUUGAGACCAACAAGUGGAUUAAUCCAAAUGUCUACAUACACAAAGAGUAUCCGUUCAAUGCCCCCCUCCUGAGCGCAAGGCAGGACCCUCACGAGCAGCCGACUCAGAAUGGAUGAGCAAGCUCCUGACAGACCUGUCUCCCCAGAGAUCACAGCUGUAAUCUCUACACAAAAUACAAAAAUGAAGUGGUGAAAGCUCUGGAGAGUGGAGCAAAAAAGGCAGAUUCUGGAGAAGAGUCAACAUUUGGAAGAAGGGACCAUCAAAAGGAAAGCUGAUGUUUCCCUGUGAUCGAUUUAAAGAUAUUUUGUUGGUCUUGCACCCGGCUGUUUUCCCAAGAUUGCUCAAGGAAAUGAUGAAUUACAAUGGACAACAAUGACAACAUUCGUAACAAUGACAUUGACUGAGUGCUUCCUGGAUAUAGGGGGUUUUCAGCAUGUAGUGCUCACAGCUACUCUACGCAAGAGACAUUGGUUUCCUCCAUUUUACACACGAAAAUACCAAGACACAACAAGUCCUUCCCAUUCAAAGGUCAGCAAAACAGGACAAAGACGUGUCGGCAGGCCUUUUUUAAGACAGGAAGAGGAGGAAAGAAGAAAAGACAGGAAAUGAAGGAGUAGAAAUGAGAGUGGCAUCACCUCCAGUAAUAUGUACACCGUCUGCUUCAGGAUGAAACAAAAUACUUAAUCAUUACUGAUCACAAAGAUAAGACGUCUCGGUUUAGGAUCCGCAAGGAGAAGUUUCUAUCAGAACUAUGUAAACACAAUGCCUUCGACCUAUUGCUUCGAAUCACCUUCUAAGAACCACAGCUCCAUAAGAAUCUGCAGAAGGUCACCUUGGCCUGUCUUUUUGCUUGAACAAUGACUCGAUUAUCUAAAAACAUGGCACAACUCUAGGUACACUGGUGUCCAGAUCCACUUUCACUUCAUUGAGCUCCUGGACAUGACUUGAAGAAAGAACUGAAAUCUGAGGGUGGAGGGAAGAAUUAUUUAUCCCCCGUGGACUGAACGAACCAGUGGCCCCUUUCCGCUCACCAAGCAGUGGAUAGGAUGUCAUCUUCUUUAUCACACCCACAAAAGGGGAAAGUCCCACAGCAGGGCUGCAGCCAUGGUUUCCAAAGGGUGUUGAACACUGAGAACUGCUGUGGGACAGGUGUGAGUGUCCUGCGAUGCUCUUUUAUGGCCGCCUCGAUUUUCUUGACCACUGAGUCAAAUAAUGCUUCAUUGUCAGGGUUUAGGGGUCGGGUCUCAGAAGGGUCUCUUGAGACGUCAAAGAGCAGCGGAGGGUCGUGGUAGGUGACAUCUCCAGAACACGGACAUAUUCCGCUUCCAUAGCAGGCGCCAGCUCCAUCGGGGGAGAAUUUGGGAGUCACGUAAUGGGCCUUCCACACGGUUGCACCUAGAAAACAGAGCUCGAUUACAGUGCCAUAUUUCGUAUCAUUUUAGGACUCUUUCCAUUGAAAAUACAUUUCUUAAAUGCUUUUGCCAACAACUGAUAAUCUAGUGCACAGAAUUACAUGGCAACUGUAGCGUUUCCUCAACCAUAGGCACAACUCCCAAUUUUGCUGCAAAUUUCAAGACUUUUCUUUUGACUUUAUCAUGAGGGCAUUCGGAGAUAAUAGCUACCACUUGGAUGGCUGCUAUAAUCCUUGAAAUUCUGACUCCAAUCACUAUUUCAACCUGACGUGGCAUAGGCAAAAUGGAAAAUUUUCUUUUUUUCUUUUCUUUUUUUUUUAAUGGAAAAUUUUCUAAGACUAAAUACCUCUUUCCAGUCUGAAAUGGACAAAGCUCCUUUGGCAAAGUCCAUCAUUCCUCAUUCUUUUCUACCUCCUUCUGGCCCUCUUUCUCUCUUUUUUCCUUCCUUGUUUCCUUUUUUUCUUCCCGUAUAAAUGGUUAGUGGUUCUCUUCCCAGAGAUCAAUUUUAACUGGAAAACAUUGUAAGUGUUCUCCAGCCUGUGGUCAAUGAGGCUUUUUCAGAAGGCUGUGGGUGGGGUUUUGCAGAAACACUAGGCUUUUCUAAUAAAAUUAGGCUAAAUCACAUGACUCGGUCCUUCACACCCUUUGCUCUUCCCUCUCCUUCCUGCAUGGGGUGCAGAGGUGAUGGUUGGAGAAACAGCAGCCACUUUGCAACCACAGCAUUAGAAGGAGCAUGAGAAUGAAAACCAGCGUGCCAGAGAGGGCCGAGUGGAGAUAGUAGAGAAAGAACCCAGAUCCCGGUCAUGGCGUUGAGCACUGUCCCAGCUCAGUGUUUCCAACUUCUGAAAACCUUAUUAUGAAAAUAUAAGUAGAAUUCUAUUUGUUUAACCCUCGGUAGUUAAAUCUGGGAAGAUUUGGUUGUUGAGGGGAGCUAUUUUCUUGUUUCCUUACCAUUGAACAUCCCCCUAACUGAUACAGA